RNAcentral lists this ribosomal RNA (481 nucleotides) under uncultured bacterium. Its description in RNAcentral is "bacterial SSU rRNA". It matches the Rfam family "Bacterial small subunit ribosomal RNA", at positions 30 to 507 of the family's 1533-position model. The record is from RNAcentral.
AUUGAACGCUGGCGGCAUGCCUUACACAUGCAAGUCGAACGGUAACGGGCUUCGGGCGCCGACGAGUGGCGAACGGGUGAGUAAUGCAUCGGAACGUACCUUUCAGUGGGGGAUAACGUAGCGAAAGUUACGCUAAUACCGCAUAUUCUGUGAGCAGGAAAGCAGGGGAUCGCAAGACCUUGCGCUGAUUGAGCGGCCGAUGUCAGAUUAGCUAGUUGGUGAGGUAAAGGCUCACCAAGGCGACGAUCGGUAGCUGGUCUGAGAGGAUGAUCAGCCACACUGGGACUGAGACACGGCCCAGACUCCUACGGGAGGCAGCAGUGGGGAAUUUUGGACAAUGGGGGCAACCCUGAUCCAGCCAUGCCGCGUGCGGGAAGAAGGCCUUCGGGUUGUAAACCGCUUUUGUUCGGGAAGAAAAGGCACGUCCUAAUACGGCGUGUUCUUGACGGUACCGGAAGAAUAAGCACCGGCUAACUACGUG